AAAGGAAUAGACGGGGGCCCGCACAAGUAGCGGAGCAUGUGGUUUAAUUCGAAGCAACGCGAAGAACCUUACCUAGACUUGACAUCUUCUGCAUUACCCUUAAUCGGGGAAGUUCCUUCGGGAACAGAAUGACAGGUGGUGCAUGGUUGUCGUCAGCUCGUGUCGUGAGAUGUUGGGUUAAGUCCCGCAACGAGCGCAACCCCUAUUGUUAGUUGCUACCAUUAAGUUGAGCACUCUAGCGAGACUGCCCGGGUUAACCGGGAGGAAGGUGGGGAUGACGUCAAAUCAUCAUGCCCCUUAUGUCUAGGGCUACACACGUGCUACAAUGGCAAGUACAGAGAGAUGCAAUACCGUGAGGUGGAGCUAAACUUCAAAACUUGUCUCAGUUCGGAUUGUAGGCUGAAACUCGCCUACAUGAAGCUGGAGUUACUAGUAAUCGCGAAUCAGCAUGUCGCGGUGAAUACGUUCCCGGGCCUUGUACACACCGCCCGU
Molecule: ribosomal RNA, 492 nt
Filed under: uncultured bacterium
Lineage: Bacteria
Description: bacterial SSU rRNA
Rfam family: Bacterial small subunit ribosomal RNA
Source: RNAcentral